UACGUAGGUGGCAAGCGUUGUCCGGAUUUACUGGGCGUAAAGAGCGCGCAGGCGGCUGGGCAAGUCCGAUGUGAAAGCUCCUGGCUUAACCGGGAGUGGUCGGUGGAAACUGCUCGUCUGGAGGACGGUAGAGGUAGGUAGAAUUCCCGGUGUAGUGGUGAAAUGCGUAGAGAUCGGGAGGAAUACCUGUGGCGAAGGCGGCCUUCUGGGCCAACACUGGACGCUCAUGCACGAAAGCGUGGGGAGCAAACAGG
RNAcentral lists this ribosomal RNA (254 nucleotides) under uncultured bacterium. RNAcentral describes it as "partial 16S ribosomal RNA". It matches the Rfam family "Bacterial small subunit ribosomal RNA", at positions 524 to 776 of the family's 1533-position model. The record is from RNAcentral.